CCUACGGGAGGCAGCAGUAGGGAAUAUUGCUCAAUGGGGGAAACCCUGAAGCAGCAACGCCGCGUGGAGGAUGAAGGUUUUCGGAUUGGAAAACCCUUUUGGUAGAGAAGAAAAUGACGGUAUCUAACGAAUAAGCACCGGCUAACUCCGUGCCAGCAGCCGCGGUAAAACGGAGGGAGCAAGCGUUACUCGGAAUCACUGGGCGUAAAGAGCUUGUAGGCGGGAUAGCAAGUCAGAUGUGAAAUCCUAGGGCUUAACCAUAGAACUGCAUUUGAAACUGUUAUUCUAGAGUAUGGGAGAGGUAGGUGGAAUGCUUGGUGUAGGGGUGAAAUCCGUAGAGAUCAAGAGGAAUACUCAUUGCGAAGGCGACAUGCUAGAGCAUAACUGACGCUGAUGCGCGAAAGCGUGGGGAGCGAACAGGAUUAGAUACCCCAGUAGUC
This 440-nucleotide ribosomal RNA is filed under the name uncultured bacterium. RNAcentral describes it as "partial 16S ribosomal RNA". It matches the Rfam family "Bacterial small subunit ribosomal RNA", at positions 338 to 795 of the family's 1533-position model. The record is from RNAcentral.